AAGAGGUGUGGGUGAAGAACGUGGACGAAGGAGGAGAGGAUGAUGGAGCAGUAGAAGACGAUGGCGAGGGUGGCGAAGACGGACUGCGACGAAGAGCUUUGACGAACGAAUCCGCGCUCAAAUACGCGCAGAUCCCAAACACCCCGAAUCCCCAGGUCGCCAACCAGCCCACCCAGAUCAUCCUGCUCAGCCACUUCGCCGUCUCGGCUUGCGGGAAGAUCGACACCACGAGAGCGCCGAGGGUGAGGAGGGAGAGGGUGA
RNAcentral lists this unclassified non-coding RNA (261 nucleotides) under Rhodotorula toruloides. Lineage: Eukaryota; Fungi; Basidiomycota; Microbotryomycetes; Sporidiobolales; Sporidiobolaceae. The record is from RNAcentral.